GAUGAAGAACGUAGUGAAAUGCGAUAAGUAAUGUGAAUUGCAGAAUUCAGUGAAUCAUCGAGUCUUUGAACGCACAUUGCGCCCCCUGGCAUUCCUGGGGGCAUGCCUGUCCGAGCGUCAUUGCUGCCCUUCAAGCCCGGCUUGUGUGUUGGGUCGUCGUCCCCCCCGGGGGACGGGCCCGAAAGGCAGCGGCGGCACCGCGUCCGGUCCUCGAGCGUAUGGGGCUUUGUCACCCGCUCGAUUAGGGCCGGCCGGGCGCCAGCCGGCGUCUCCAACCUUCUAUUUUACCAGGUUGACCUCGGAUCAGGUAGGGAUACCCGCUGAACUUAAGCAUAUCAAUAAGCGGAGGA
RNAcentral lists this unclassified non-coding RNA (350 nucleotides) under soil metagenome. RNAcentral's name for it is "partial contains 5.8S ribosomal RNA, internal transcribed spacer 2, and large subunit ribosomal RNA". The stretch from base 1 to 120 matches the Rfam family "5.8S ribosomal RNA", at positions 35 to 154 of the family's 154-position model. The record is from RNAcentral.